AUUAGUGGCGAACGGGUGAGUAACACGUGGGCAAUCUGCCCUGCACUCUGGGACAAGCCCUGGAAACGGGGUCUAAUACCGGAUACUGACCACUGGGGGCAUCUUCAGUGGUCGAAAGCUCCGGCGGUGCAGGAUGAGCCCGCGGCCUAUCAGCUUGUUGGUGAGGUAGUGGCUCACCAAGGCGACGACGGGUAGCCGGCCUGAGAGGGCGACCGGCCACACUGGGACUGAGACACGGCCCAGACUCCUACGGGAGGCAGCAGUGGGGAAUAUUGCACAAUGGGCGAAAGCCUGAUGCAGCGACGCCGCGUGAGGGAUGACGGCCUUCGGGUUGUAAACCUCUUUCAGCAGGGAAAAAGCGAAAGUGACGGUACCUGCAAAAAAAGCGCCGNCUAACUACGUGCCAGCAGCCCNGGUANUACGUANGGGGCGAGCGUUGUCCG
This 443-nucleotide ribosomal RNA is filed under the name Streptomyces sp. CS-1. RNAcentral's name for it is "bacterial SSU rRNA". It matches the Rfam family "Bacterial small subunit ribosomal RNA", at positions 91 to 547 of the family's 1533-position model. The record is from RNAcentral. Lineage: Bacteria; Bacillati; Actinomycetota; Actinomycetes; Kitasatosporales; Streptomycetaceae.